GUGCUUGCUUCGGCAGCACAUAUACUAAAAUUGGAAUGAUACAGAGAAGAUUAGCAUGGCCCCUGUGCAAGGGUGACAUGCAAAUAACUCACAAUCAAGAAAACACU
This is a small nuclear RNA of Jaculus jaculus (lesser Egyptian jerboa), 107 nucleotides long. Lineage: Eukaryota; Metazoa; Chordata; Mammalia; Rodentia; Dipodidae. The record is from Ensembl.